RNAcentral lists this long non-coding RNA (541 nucleotides) under Brassica napus (rape). Its description in RNAcentral is "long non-coding RNA (BNAP_LNC024637)". Lineage: Eukaryota; Viridiplantae; Streptophyta; Magnoliopsida; Brassicales; Brassicaceae. The record is from RNAcentral.
UCGUAAACACCACGUAAGACAACGAGGAAAUAACGACGAAAUAUAAAAAUAAAGAUGGGGUUUGGAAUAUAUGAAGUAGAAAAAUAAGGAAUAUGGGGUUUGGGGUUUCGGAUUUUAGGGAUUUAAACAUAACACUCGUUAAUUCCACGUAAGUAGAAAUCGUCUUAAAUACCACGUAACAGGAAUCGUCGUAAACACCACGUAGGACGAAAUCGUCGUAAAUACCUCGUAGUGUAAAAACUAGAAAAAAAAGAAAAAGGAGAAAGAUACCAGAUUCACAUGUGGCAAGACUUCCAGCAAUUAUAAUACGUAAGUCUCGCCCACAUGAAUUCUAAUAUCUUCUUCUUUUCCUUUUUUUUCAAAUAUUUAUAAUUUGAAUAGGAUUUUGCUGAGGAGUGUGAUUUGAGAUAGAGUGUGAUUUGGGAGUUUGUGUGUGGUUUGAGAAUGAGAGUUGUGGGUAUAUUUAUAGGAAAGCGCGGCUCGUCAAUUCCACGUAAGCAAAAUCGUCGUUAAUACCUCGUAUAUAAAAACACGGGUCUUU